GAGAAGGAACAGAAGAAAGGGAAG
RNAcentral lists this non-coding RNA (24 nucleotides) under Cricetulus griseus (Chinese hamster). The record is from RNAcentral. Lineage: Eukaryota; Metazoa; Chordata; Mammalia; Rodentia; Cricetidae.